Molecule: long non-coding RNA, 760 nt
Filed under: Homo sapiens (human)
Lineage: Eukaryota; Metazoa; Chordata; Mammalia; Primates; Hominidae
Description: uncharacterized LOC105378798, transcript variant 1 (LOC105378798)
Source: RNAcentral
AGAUGGUAAUCCAAUGUAUAAGCAAUGGACUGUUUUAUUCUUGGUGCUUUCAAGACCUGAUGCUUUGUUUUGAACAGGUUGAUACAUCUAGGAGUGAAAUACAUCACCGCUUUCCCUGCUCCCGCCGCCAUUAAAAUUGUGUUUGGCAUCUGACCACCAAGAUACAGAUAUUUCCUAGACUGUUUUGCAGCUAGGUACUUAGAAGUUUUUCUAAGUUAUUUAAACUUCUCACCACACAAAAUCUGGAUUUGUAUCUGUCACGUAGUAAUUGCUUGAUAAAUCAUUUCUCUUUCCUCUGGAGAAAAAUAUCUGCUUUCUUUAAAAUAAAUGUUCCAUCCAUGCAGCUAAGCAGCUAAGGACACGAACAGCCACUGAUACAGGCCAACUCAUCAGUAGAUUAUUGAGAUUUCAUACUAGGACCUUUCAUUGGCUGAACAAAGACAAAGACAGAAAUCAAGGAAGGUCAAAGAAGCAGUCAGUUUUCUGGCACCCAAAGUUGUUGGAGAAGGGUACAGAGUCGGUAAAUAAGUCAUAUGACAGACAGGCAGUAUUUUCUUAUUUUAAUAACAAGUUUAAAAAUCCCACUUCUUGUACUUACCUUCUGUCUGACGUCAUCAGUAUUUUAAAAUGCCAACUGGGAUCAAGUUCAACACUGCAUUACUGAAGAAUCCAGAUUAUCUACAUUUCAAGUGCCAAAUGAAAGAAAGAACCCAGAAAAUAAAACAAUAUGAUGAUAACAGUAAAAUUUUUUAAAAUGAAA